CCUCGUUCCUAUUUUGUUGGUUUUCGGGAGCUUGGUAAUGAUUAAUAGGGAUGGUUGGGGGCAUUGAUAUUUAAUUGUCAGAGGUGAAAUUCUUGGAUUUAUGAAAGAUCAACUACUGCGAAAGCAUCUGUCAAGGAUGUUUUCAUUAAUCAAGAACGAAAGUUAGGGGAUCGAAGACGAUCAGAUACCGUCGUAGUCUUAACCAUAAACGAUGCCGACCAGGGAUCGGGGGACGUUAUCUCUUACGACUCUCCCAGCACCUUGUGAGAAAUCAUAAGUCUUUGGGUUCCGGGGGGAGUAUGGUCGCAAGGCUGAAACUUAAAGGAAUUGACGGAAGGGCACCACCAGGAGUGGAGCCUGCGGCUUAAUUUGACUCAACACGGGGAAACUCACCAGGUCCAGA
This 403-nucleotide ribosomal RNA is filed under the name uncultured fungus. RNAcentral describes it as "SSU rRNA". It matches the Rfam family "Eukaryotic small subunit ribosomal RNA", at positions 828 to 1228 of the family's 1831-position model. Lineage: Eukaryota; Fungi. The record is from RNAcentral.